RNAcentral lists this ribosomal RNA (497 nucleotides) under uncultured bacterium. Its description in RNAcentral is "bacterial SSU rRNA". It matches the Rfam family "Bacterial small subunit ribosomal RNA", at positions 903 to 1397 of the family's 1533-position model. The record is from RNAcentral.
AAAUGAAUUGACGGGGACCCGCACAAGCGGUGGAGCAUGUGGUUUAAUUCGAAGAUACGCGAAGAACCUUACCCGGACUUGAUAUCUAACAAAUCAUUCAGAGAUGAAAGAGUGUCUGCUUGCAGAAAUGUUAAGACAGGUGCUGCACGGCUGUCGUCAGCUCGUGUCGUGAGAUGUUGGGUUAAGUCCCGCAACGAGCGCAACCCACGUGUUUAGUUGCUAACAGUUAGGCUGAGCACUCUAAACAGACUGCCUACGCAAGUAGGAGGAAGGUGUGGACGACGUCAAGUCAUCAUGGCCCUUAUGUCCGGGGCGACACACGUGCUACAAUGGCAUAUACAGUAAGACGCAAUAUCGCAAGAUGGAGCAAAUCUAUAAAAUAUGUCCCAGUUCGGAUUGGAGUCUGCAACUCGACUCCAUGAAGCCGGAAUCGCUAGUAAUCGUAGAUCAGCCAUGCUACGGUGAAUACGUUCCCGGGUCUUGUACACACCGCCCGU